GAUGAACGCUGGCGGCGUGCCUAAUACAUGCAAGUCGAGCGAACGGACGAGAAGCUUGCUUCUCUGAUGUUAGCGGCGGACGGGUGAGUAACACGUGGAUAACCUACCUAUAAGACUGGGAUAACUUCGGGAAACCGGAGCUAAUACCGGAUAAUAUUUUGAACCGCAUGGUUCAAAAGUGAAAGACGGUCUUGCUGUCACUUAUAGAUGGAUCCGCGCUGCAUUAGCUAGUUGGUAAGGUAACGGCUUACCAAGGCAACGAUGCAUAGCCGACCUGAGAGGGUGAUUGGCCACACUGGAACUGAGACACGGCCCAGACUCCUACGGGAGGCAGCAGUAGGGAAUCUUCCGCAAUGGGCGAAAGCCUGACGGAGCAACGCCGCGUGAGUGAUGAAGGUCUUCGGAUCGUAAAGCUCUGUUAUUAGGGAAGAACAUAUGUGUAAGUAACUGUGCACAUCUUGACGGUACCUAAUCAGAAAGCCACGGCUAACUACGUG
Molecule: ribosomal RNA, 497 nt
Filed under: uncultured bacterium
Lineage: Bacteria
Description: partial 16S ribosomal RNA
Rfam family: Bacterial small subunit ribosomal RNA
Source: RNAcentral